GAGUUUGAUCAUGGCUCAGAACGAACGCUGGCGGCAGGCCUAACACAUGCAAGUCGAACGAUCUCUUCGGAGAUAGUGGCGCACGGGUGAGUAACGCGUGGGAAUUUGCCUUAAGGUACGGAACAACAGCUGGAAACGGCUGCUAAUACCGUAUGACGUCUACGGACCAAAGAUUUAUCGCCUUAAGAUGAGCCCGCGUUAGAUUAGCUAGAUGGUGGGGUAACGGCCUACCAUGGCGACGAUCUAUAGCUGGUCUGAGAGGAUGAUCAGCCACACUGGGACUGAGACACGGCCCAGACUCCUACGGGAGGCAGCAGUGGGGAAUAUUGGACAAUGGGGGCAACCCUGAUCCAGCCAUGCCGCGUGAGUGAUGAAGGCUUUAGGGUUGUAAAACUCUUUCAGCGGUGACGAUAAUGACGGUAACCGCAGAAGAAGCCCCGGCUAACUCCGUGCCAGCAGCCGCGGUAAUACGGAGGGGGCUAGCGUUGUUCGGAAUUACUGGGCGUAAAGCGCGCGUAGGCGGAUUAACAAGUUGGGGGUGAAAGCCCGGGGCUUAACCUCGGAACUGCCUUCAAAA
Molecule: ribosomal RNA, 577 nt
Filed under: uncultured Paracoccaceae bacterium
Lineage: Bacteria; Pseudomonadati; Pseudomonadota; Alphaproteobacteria; Rhodobacterales; Paracoccaceae
Description: bacterial SSU rRNA
Rfam family: Bacterial small subunit ribosomal RNA
Source: RNAcentral